RNAcentral lists this long non-coding RNA (432 nucleotides) under Ictidomys tridecemlineatus (thirteen-lined ground squirrel). RNAcentral's name for it is "lncRNA (ENSSTOG00000034805.1)". The record is from RNAcentral. Lineage: Eukaryota; Metazoa; Chordata; Mammalia; Rodentia; Sciuridae.
AAAUAGUUAAACCUGAAGGUCACUUCACAGCAGCGUUCCUACAUGCUCCCCCAGCGAGGCUGCCCGGCAACAAUAAAACAAAGCCUUUGCAACCACCUGUAAUAAUCUGCCUGCUCAGCCAGCAAUCCGAAAAGUCCUGGAGCUACACAAGAGAGUAUUUGGAUGUCCCAGGAGAGGCAGAUACAGACAGAAAGAGUGCAAAAGAAAUGGAAAAUGUUAGAAAUCUCAGAACAUCUUACAGGUAUGUAUUAAACAAAAUAAAGUUACAAGUGAAAAAGCACAUUUCCCUGUUGAAGCAAUCAGGGAAAGCUUCUGAUAGGCUUCAGAUAUAAUAUGUGUACAUUCUAAUGAAAGAAGGCUUUUACCAUUGAAACCUGUUUAAAAUUCAUAGGCUACUGACCUACCCCACAGAAUCCCUGUACAGACAUGGGC